This 254-nucleotide ribosomal RNA is filed under the name uncultured bacterium. RNAcentral describes it as "partial 16S ribosomal RNA". It matches the Rfam family "Bacterial small subunit ribosomal RNA", at positions 100 to 353 of the family's 1533-position model. The record is from RNAcentral.
GGACGGGUGAGUAAUGUCUGGGAAACUGCCUGAUGGAGGGGGGAGUAACUACUGGAAACGGUAGCUAAUACCGCAUAACGUCGCAAGACCAAAGAGGGGGACCUUCGGGCCUCUUGCCAUCAGAUGUGCCCAGACGGGAUUAGCUAGUAGGUGGGGUAACGGCUCACCUAGGCGACGAUCCCUAGCUGGUCUGAGAGGAUGACCAGCCACACUGGAACUGAGACACGGUCCAGACUCCUACGGGAGGCAGCAUG